RNAcentral lists this ribosomal RNA (475 nucleotides) under uncultured organism. RNAcentral's name for it is "partial 16S ribosomal RNA". It matches the Rfam family "Bacterial small subunit ribosomal RNA", at positions 332 to 798 of the family's 1533-position model. The record is from RNAcentral.
UACACUCCUACGGGAGGCAGCAGUGGGGAAUUUUGGACAAUGGGCGAAAGCCUGAUCCAGCAAUGCCGCGUGAGUGAAGAAGGCCUUCGGGUUGUAAAGCUCUUUUGUCAGGGAAGAAACGGUGAGAGCUAAUAUCUUUUGCUAAUGACGGUACCUGAAGAAUAAGCACCGGCUAACUACGUGCCAGCAGCCGCGGUAAUACGUAGGGUGCAAGCGUUAAUCGGAAUUACUGGGCGUAAAGCGUGCGCAGGCGGUUUUGUAAGUCUGAUGUGAAAUCCCCGGGCUCAACCUGGGAAUUGCAUUGGAGACUGCAAGGCUAGAAUCUGGCAGAGGGGGGUAGAAUUCCACGUGUAGCAGUGAAAUGCGUAGAUAUGUGGAGGAACACCGAUGGCGAAGGCAGCCCCCUGGGUCAAGAUUGACGCUCAUGCACGAAAGCGUGGGGAGCAAACAGGAUUAGAAACCCCGGUAGUCCCAU